UACGAACGGUGCACACGUUGCUCGGAAUCCUUGGGCGUAAAGCGCACGUAGGCGGCCCCGUAAGGCGGAUGUGGAAUCCCUCGGCUCAACCGAGGACGUGCAUUCGAAACUGCCGGGCUUGAGUAUGGAAGAGGGUCGCAGAAUUCCCGGUGUAGAGGUGAAAUUCGUAGAUAUCGGGAGGAAUACCAGUGGCGAAGGCGGCGACCUGGGCCAAUACUGACGCUGAUGUGCGAAAGCGUGGGCAGCAAACAGG
RNAcentral lists this ribosomal RNA (253 nucleotides) under uncultured bacterium. RNAcentral's name for it is "partial 16S ribosomal RNA". It matches the Rfam family "Bacterial small subunit ribosomal RNA", at positions 524 to 776 of the family's 1533-position model. The record is from RNAcentral.